UUAUACCGUGAAACUGCGAAUGGCUCAUUAAAUCAGUUAUCGUUUAUUUGAUAGAACCUUACUACUUGGAUAACCGUGGUAAUUCUAGAGCUAAUACAUGCUAAAAACCCCGACUUCGGGAGGGGUGUAUUUAUUAGAUAAAAAACCAAUGCCCUUCUGGGCUCUUUGGUGAUUCAUGAUAACUUAACGGAUCGCAUGGCCUUGCGCCGGCGACGGUUCAUUCAAAUUUCUGCCCUAUCAACUUUCGAUGGUAAGGUAUUGGCUUACCAUGGUUUCAACGGGUAACGGGGAAUUAGGGUUCGAUUCCGGAGAGGGAGCCUGAGAAACGGCUACCACAUCCAAGGAAGGCAGCAGGCGCGCAAAUUACCCAAUCCCGACACGGGGAGGUAGUGACAAUAAAUACUGAUACAGGGCUCUUUUGGGUCUUGUAAUCGGAAUGAGUACAAUUUAAACCCCUUAACGAGGAACAAUUGGAGGGCAAGUCUGGUGCCAGCAGCCGCGGUAAUUCCAGCUCCAAUAGCGUAUAUUAAAGUUGUUGCAGUUAAAAAGCUCGUAGUUGAACCUUGGGCCUGGCUGGCCGGUCCGCCUCACCGCGUGUACUGGUCCGGCCGGGCCUUUCCUUCUGGAGAGCCGCAUGCCCUUCACUGGGUGUGUCGGGGAACCAGGACUUUUACUUUGAAAAAAUUAGAGUGUUCAAAGCAGGCCUUUGCUCGAAUACGUUAGCAUGGAAUAAUAGAAUAGGACGUGCGGUCCUAUUUUGUUGGUUUCUAGGACCGCCGUAAUGAUUAAUAGGGAUAGUCGGGGGCAUCAGUAUUCAAUUGUCAGAGGUGAAAUUCUUGGAUUUAUUGAAGACUAACUACUGCGAAAGCAUUUGCCAAGGAUGUUUUCAUUAAUCAGUGAACGAAAGUUAGGGGAUCGAAGACGAUCAGAUACCGUCGUAGUCUUAACCGUAAACUAUGCCGACUAGGGAUCGGGCGAUGUUUCUAUCUUGACUCGCUCGGCACCUUACGAGAAAUCAAAGUUU
RNAcentral lists this ribosomal RNA (1024 nucleotides) under Striatiguttula nypae. Its description in RNAcentral is "SSU rRNA". It matches the Rfam family "Eukaryotic small subunit ribosomal RNA", at positions 74 to 1106 of the family's 1831-position model. The record is from RNAcentral. Lineage: Eukaryota; Fungi; Ascomycota; Dothideomycetes; Pleosporales.